This 497-nucleotide ribosomal RNA is filed under the name uncultured bacterium. Its description in RNAcentral is "partial 16S ribosomal RNA". It matches the Rfam family "Bacterial small subunit ribosomal RNA", at positions 28 to 507 of the family's 1533-position model. The record is from RNAcentral.
GAUGAACGCUGGCGGCGUGCCUAAUACAUGCAAGUCGAGCGAACAGAUGAGGAGCUUGCUCCUCUGACGUUAGCGGCGGACGGGUGAGUAACACGUGGAUAACCUACCUAUAAGACUGGGAUAACUUCGGGAAACCGGAGCUAAUACCGGAUAAUAUAUUGAACCGCAUGGUUCAAUAGUGAAAGACGGUUUUGCUGUCACUUAUAGAUGGAUCCGCGCCGCAUUAGCUAGUUGGUAAGGUAACGGCUUACCAAGGCAACGAUGCGUAGCCGACCUGAGAGGGUGAUCGGCGACACUGGAACUGAGACACGGUCCAGACUCCUACGGGAGGCAGCAGUAGGGGAUCUUCCGCAAUGGGCGAAAGCCUGACGGAGCAGCGCCGCGUGAGUGAUGAAGGUCUUCGGAUCGUAAAACUCUGUUAUUAGGGAAGAACAAAUGUGUAAGUAACUAUGCACGUCUUGACGGUACCUAAUCAGAAAGCCACGGCUAACUACGUG